This 492-nucleotide ribosomal RNA is filed under the name uncultured bacterium. RNAcentral's name for it is "partial 16S ribosomal RNA". It matches the Rfam family "Bacterial small subunit ribosomal RNA", at positions 29 to 507 of the family's 1533-position model. The record is from RNAcentral.
AGUGAACGCUGGCGGUAGGCCUAACACAUGCAAGUCGAACGGCAGCACAGUAAGAGCUUGCUCUUACGGGUGGCGAGUGGCGGACGGGUGAGGAAUACAUCGGAAUCUACUUUUUCGUGGGGGAUAACGUAGGGAAACUUACGCUAAUACCGCAUACGACCUACGGGUGAAAGCAGGGGAUCUUCGGACCUUGCGCGAUUGAAUGAGCCGAUGUCGGAUUAGCUAGUUGGCGGGGUAAAGGCCCACCAAGGCGACGAUCCGUAGCUGGUCUGAGAGGAUGAUCAGGCAAACUUGAACUGGGACCAGGUCCAGACUCCUACGGGAGGCAGCAGUGGGGAAUAUUGGACAAUGGGCGGAAGCCUGAUCCAGCCAUUCCGCGUGGGUGAAGAAGGCCUUCGGGUUGUAAAGCCCUUUUGGUUGGGAAGAAAAGCAGGAAGGUAAUACCCCGCUGUUCUGACGGUACCCAAAGAAUAAGCACCGGCUAACUUCGUG